AGUGAACGCUGGCGGUAGGCCUAACACAUGCAAGUCGAACGGCAGCACAGUAAGAGCUUGCUCUUACGGGUGGCGAGUGGCGGACGGGUGAGGAAUACAUCGGAAUCUACUUUUUCGUGGGGGAUAACGUAGGGAAACUUACGCUAAUACCGCAUACGACCUACGGGUGAAAGCAGGGGAUCUUCGGACCUUGCGCGAUUGAAUGAGCUGAUGUCGGAUUAGCUAGUUGGCGGGGUAAAGGCCCACCAAGGCGACGAUCCGUAGCUGGUCUGAGAGGAUGAUCAGCCACACUGGAACUGAGACACGGUCCAGACUCCUACGGGAGGCAGCAGUGGGGAAUAUUGGGCAAUGGGCGCAAGCCUGAUCCAGCCAUACCGCGUGGGUGAAGAAGGCCUUCGGGUUGUAAAGCCCUUUUGUUGGGAAAGAAAAGCAGCAGGUUAAUACCCCGCUGUUCUGACGGUACCCAAAGAAUAAGCACCGGCUAACUUCGUG
This 492-nucleotide ribosomal RNA is filed under the name uncultured bacterium. Its description in RNAcentral is "partial 16S ribosomal RNA". It matches the Rfam family "Bacterial small subunit ribosomal RNA", at positions 29 to 507 of the family's 1533-position model. The record is from RNAcentral.